CCAAAGGUUUGGUCCUAGCCUUCCCGUUAGUUCUUAAUAAAAUUACACAUGCAAGUAUCUACACCCCAGUGAAAAUGCCCUCCAAAUCACUAGUUGAUUAAAAGGAGCAGGUAUCAAGCACACUUUACAUAAGUAGCUCACAACACCUUGCUCAGCCACACCCCCACGGGAUACAGCAGUGAUAAAAAUUAAGCUAUAAACGAAAGUUUGACUAAGUUAUAUUAAUAAAGGGUUGGUAAAUUUCGUGCCAGCCACCGCGGCCAUACGAUUAGCCCAAAUUAACGGACAUCCGGCGUAAAACGUGUUAAAGAAUCUACUCACAUUAAAGUUAAAACUUAAUCAGGCCGUAAAAAGCUACCGUUAACAUAAAAUACCUUACGAAAGUAACUUUAUUAAUUCUGAUUACACGACAGCUAAGACCCAAACUGGGAUUAGAUACCCCACUAUGCUUAGCCCUAAACAUAAAUAGUUUAGUAUAACAAAACUAUUCGCCAGAGAACUACUAGCAAUAGCCUAAAACUCAAAGGACUUGGCGGUGCUUUACACCCCUCUAGAGGAGCCUGUUCUAUAAAUCGAUAAACCCCGAUAAACCUUACCACUUCUAGCUACUUCAGUCUAUAUACCGCCAUCUUCAGCAAACCCUCAAAAGGAAGCAAAGUAAGCAUAAUAAUCCCUACAUAAAAAAGUUAGGUCAAGGUGUAACCCAUGAAGUGGAAAGAAAUGGGCUACAUUUUCUAAACAAGAACAUUAUACGAAAGUUUUUAUGAAAUUAAAACCUAAAGGUGGAUUUAGUAGUAAAUUAAGAAUAGAGAGCUUAAUUGAAUUGGGCUAUAAAGCACGCACACACCGCCCGUCACCCUCCUCAAACGUCAAGAUUUAAAUCCAAUAUAUAAUCACAACAGACUAAACGCAAGAGGAGACAAGUCGUAACAAGGUAAGCGUACUGGAAGGUGUGCUUGGAUAAAC
This 966-nucleotide non-coding RNA is filed under the name Ailurus fulgens (lesser panda). Its description in RNAcentral is "12S ribosomal RNA". It matches the Rfam family "Bacterial small subunit ribosomal RNA". The record is from RNAcentral. Lineage: Eukaryota; Metazoa; Chordata; Mammalia; Carnivora; Ailuridae.